GAUGAAGAACUUUUAUAUAAUUGUUUAUAUUUUACUUUUGUGUACAGAUUCGUCAGAUUAGAAGUGUGGGUGGACCAACUCCGCGGAGAACUAUUAAGAAUGUGCUAGAUUGUGUAUUAGAGCGCAGCGUGCAAAAUUGUUUCAGCAAAGAUGGGUUGAAAGGAAAGCGGAAACUUCUAAGUACAGCACUUUAUAAAUGUUUAAAAACUGCACUUAUAUCUGACAAAGGUGGUUUUGAAGGGAGCGAUAUUGAAAGACUUGUUGGUGAUUUGU
Hydra vulgaris (swiftwater hydra) is the source of this 273-nucleotide non-coding RNA. The record is from RefSeq and is a predicted model, not a curated record. Lineage: Eukaryota; Metazoa; Cnidaria; Hydrozoa; Anthoathecata; Hydridae.